Molecule: long non-coding RNA, 1553 nt
Organism: Gastrolobium bilobum
Lineage: Eukaryota; Viridiplantae; Streptophyta; Magnoliopsida; Fabales; Fabaceae
Exons: 3
Source: RefSeq, a predicted model, not a curated record
UAUCUAAUUCUUUUUCGUUGUUUUUGGUAGACAAAAUGCUUGUAGAAAUGUCUUAUUCAUUUGUUAAUUUUCACACAGUACCACCAGUGAACACAUCACCACCGAGCUUGUCCCCCUCUUUGCUUUAAUGUUGUUCUCUGGAGUUUCAACUCAGAUUCAGCCCUUCGUUGUGCAGUGAUAGUUCUGUUAUCUUUCUCUGGACCGUGCUCCACUUUAUUCUUCAUAAUCUACACUUGUGGGCGCACUGAAGGAGUGCUGUUGAAGGGUGGACUCUGAAGACACCAAUCUUCUUAAAAGGAUUCAAUCUACUAAGGUAUAUUUACAGAGUUAACUUCUGAUUCAACUCCUCUAGUUUGAUCGUAAAAAUCUAUUUGAUUAUUAGUGGUGAGCCCGAUACAUCAUUCUGUGUGAGCAAUGUUUAUAUUUUUAUUUAGGUAGAUGAUUUAUAGCUUUAAAAUCUACCAUUAUUUCUAUAAGCAGAUAAAUUGUAUAUCUUAUAAAUAUAAUUAUAUCUUGGUAAAAAUUAGGCUUGUCAGGCUAAUUAGGUGAACGUCAGCCACAGACCCGAAAUUGGGUCAUGACCUCAUAUGGGCUCCACACACUUUUAUAAGUGUAUAGUAGAUAAUUUUAUCGAACAUAAGAAACUUAAAAUAAAAAAAAUUGCAUCCAAGGAAAAAAAUGAAUGCAAUGUCAUUUAGUUAUUUAUUUUUUAAAUCACAUAAUCACAAUUUAAAUGAGAAUGAAUGGUAAAAAUAAAUUCAAAUAAUCCGAGACAACAUUAUAUGGAAUUACCAACUCAAACUCAAGGAGGGAUCUUAGUCUGUAGACUAGUGAACCGGAUCGAAUCGGCUGGGUUGAUCCGGAACCUGGUGAACCAGUAAUAUAGUCGGUUCGAGUCAAGCAAUGGAUAGGUUAUCCAUUGCACUUGGUAAAAGCCGGUUCGACGUGAUCGGUUUUUAUCAAAAUCAGUGACCCGACGGGUUCACAAAUAAACCGGCGGAUCAUGAAUUUUAAAAAGAAGAAAGAAAACUAUGUCGUUUUGCUCUUUUAUUCUCCUUUCAAUCAGUUUCUUCUCAUCAACAAGCCAUUUCUUCUCCAUCUGCUAGUAGUGCACGCCAAUUGACAAGGGUUUACCCAUUAAGUUCUCAACUUGUGCAAUUUCCUUCUAUAAUCUCUCGCUUUCUGCUACCCAACACUUUACCUCCUUCCCUUCCAUCAACCCCUUGACAUGGCUCACGAAGAGGGUUUGGAGGCAAUCUUCAAGUUCAACCCUAUCAGAAGCAGGAAGGGAUGAGAACGUUCCAUGUGAGCUCUGGCGUGAAAUCAUGGACUCCAGAAAGGAAAGAAUCCCAAAACCAAAGGACCGCCAGUUACUAGCAUUUGUAAACAGAGUUAUUAAUUUUGGAUAUACUCAAUCUCUGUAUCAGUUCUGCAAUGUUGCUCGUGAGGUUUUUUUUGGGGUUAUUGCUUGGUAUGUUGAUACCUAACAUGUUUAAUGUGAACCGAUAAUAUAGUUCAUUGAUAUUAAUUUGCUGAAUUUUUUUGGCAUGUUU